RNAcentral lists this ribosomal RNA (253 nucleotides) under uncultured bacterium. RNAcentral's name for it is "partial 16S ribosomal RNA". It matches the Rfam family "Bacterial small subunit ribosomal RNA", at positions 524 to 776 of the family's 1533-position model. The record is from RNAcentral.
UACGUAGGGUGCAAGCGUUGUCCGGAAUUAUUGGGCGUAAAGAGCUCGUAGGCGGUCUGUCGCGUCGGCUGUGAAAACCCGGGGCUCAACCCCGGGCCUGCAGUCGAUACGGGCAGACUAGAGUGCGGUAGGGGAGACUGGAAUUCCUGGUGUAGCGGUGAAAUGCGCAGAUAUCAGGAAGAACACCUAUGGCGAAGGCAGCUCUCUGGGACGGUACUGACGCUGAGACGCGAAAGCGUGGGGAGCGAACAGG